Molecule: long non-coding RNA, 7299 nt
Organism: Apis cerana (Asiatic honeybee)
Lineage: Eukaryota; Metazoa; Arthropoda; Insecta; Hymenoptera; Apidae
Source: RefSeq, a predicted model, not a curated record
AUCUAACAACCUGUUGUGUUAUCAUAUUUACUGCAGAGAAUAUAUUUAUAUAUUCGGUAUUUUGCAGCGAGAACGAGGCUGAAUCUGGACGAGGUCCGAUCGAAAACAGACACCGACGUUACUUAACGAUGAUAAUAUUCAGGGGGCCCGACUGUAUUCUUGCCACUUGAGAGCCAAGGAGCCGGUCGGUUUAGACGCCGAUAAGGAAAUCGAGUACAAAUUGCGUGACUCUCCACCUCCUUAUCUGCCUCUGGACUUCUAUGCAAGCUGUAAAUGACACUUCUCAGAUUUACCUACCGUUUCGUGUAAUUAGAAGGCUCUAAAGAAGCUAAACUACGACCCCAGUUAAUCAGAGCACCGCUCAAGCGCUGCACAAUUAAACGUGUCAACUUUCUAUGGAGCUUUAUCGCAAGAAAAAAAUUUUUUUUUUUUAAAAGUCAUCAAAAAGUGCCGAAGUUUCAAGAUCGAGAAGAAAAAAGAUCUUAAAUACACUUUUAACGCUUUUGCGCGUGUAAUAAUACGAAUAGACGAUCAAUUGUAAAAAUAUUAUUGGCCGAAAUUUGCGAGUAAUUGCGCAAAAUUUCUUUCCGUUUAAAAAAAAAAAAAGAAGAAGAAGAAGAAGAAGAGGAAACCCGGAAAAUCAUUCUUCGUCACUCGCAUCUGGAAAAAUUUUUCGACUGCUACCUACGAGGAAGAUCCUUCGCGUCGUCAUCGGGACUGACUAAUAGCUUUAUCUAAUCGAACGGAGCAGACUAAAGAUUUUUGCGACGUGUACGCGAUCAAAUCGCGUGCACACGCGCAUAACUCGCUGAAGAUAUUGAUACCAACCUUCUUAGAUUUCAACGGAGCCCAACGUCUAUCUUCAGCGAUUAGCGAAUCAGAAAAAUCUGGUAACACGAAACUCUGGGUGCGAUCAUUUCCUCUUUAUCAGAGGAUUUAUAUGCUCUUUUAACUCUUCCGACGUCAUUUGUCUUCCAUCGUGUACAAGGAAAAUCACUCUUCUCAUGAGUCGAUAUUAUUAUUAUUAUUAUUAUUAUUAUUAUUAUUUCUUUUUUUCUUUAAUUACAAUCUACUAUGUAUAUUGCAGCGAUCCGCGUGAAUAAGAAUUUUACUUCAGUUUUUGAUUGGAUUCAUUAUACUUCCAUAAACAAAUCUAUCCACCGAACCUGCCUUUUUCCAUCCCGACGAAUGAUUAAUGGACAUGGCGUUAACAACCAACGUAUGAAGCUGGACACGUCCAUCAGCAACAUAAUAUUAAUACAACAUGUAUACACGCAUCAUUUGAUACACAGGGUAUAUAUUUCCAUUAGUGAUCAUUUUUAACCCGAAACUGUCGAGAAUGAACCACUGACAGCUUCUCGAAGAAGCGCAAUCGAGGCAGAGAAUGUGAACUAAACGACACGUGGAGAGAUUAGGAUGCAGCCUCCACCGGACGUGGUUUAAACGAAAAAAUGACAGAGUAGAUCGUGCAAAUCUAUGUGGCGAAACAAUCAGACGCUAUGAAUUUGUACAUGAGCAGUAUUAUGAUGAACAAGGGGAGGGCAGUGAUGAAAGGUGAACGAACCGGAGAAUCGUGCAACGUGAACGACGUUGGCGCAUCCACGAGGCCGGGCCAAAAAGACUUCUGGCUCGUAGCUGGCAAUGUUUGAAGUGCCGUCGCCGGAAGCUUACAAACACCGGCCCGGUGUUGUGACAUCGUAUUAUGCCAAGCGAAACUUACGAUCUCGCUAGAUCGUUAAUUUGCGAUCCAGCUUUACGACGUCUAGUUUGCACCGAACCACUGAUGUACUUGGCAAAAAUUCGUCAAACAACUAGCCCACCAAUACUCCGUGUAACUAUCGCACAAUCCUUGUUCUCCUCCAUUCUAGGCAAAUUAUUAUUCAAAUAACAGAAUGUAAUUCGUAUAAUUAUACGUAAAAUUUUGUAAGAGAGCGAAAUACAGCGCAAAAAUGUUGCGCCACGUCACGUAGAGCUGAGCAGUUUCUGUUCUUUUUUUGUUUCGAAGCAAAUUAAUAAAUAUUGUUCACGAUUAUUCUCACGGCUGGAAUUGUCAAAAGCGGUUUGCAAAUGUGGCAGAAUAUACAGAGAUCGCGUGGAAUAUACCGCAGAAGUGCAUCAAGGGUUGACACUGAAAAACGUUCUCGAGAAAUCUGUCGAGGCGGUUGGCUGGAACACGUGGUCACCUCGUUAAUUCGCUAGACAGCCAUUAAAUUAAGCUCCUAUACCGCCACCGGUGAAUGCUUUGAACGAAUAGGAAAAAGAGAAUCAACAUAGCUGGAUUCUUCGAAGGACGAAAAUUUUAAGAUCACUUUUGGAUCACUAUCGGUGUACUUGCUGGAAGAAAUAUGCGCAGAGGUUGGAAAGAAAGUGGUAAAUGAAAAAGAAGUAAUGUAUCUUGUAUGCGAAGGGCGUUAAUCACUGGAUGCGUUCACAGAAUCAUAGUUUUUCAUAGAGAUAUUAAAAAUUGCUAAUGAUAAUUUGAAUUUUGUAAAUAAAGAAGCAAUGGGUGGAAAAUAGGGAAAUACCGCUUGAUAAAUUACAUGUUUUAUAAACAAACAAAUGAAAGUUGGUUUAUUGUUUCUGAUGAUUUAGCUUGUUUGCACUACAUACAGAGUUCAACAUGACUAAAGAUAGAGGGCCUAUAAACACUUCUGUAGAUCAACAAAUGAAUGAGAUUUAGAACCUCAGGAUAAACUUAUAUCUUUGAUCCUUUGUUUUUGAUCAUAUUUUAACUCUAUUUGAUAUAAGAGAAACGAUCAGAUUUUGAAAAGAAUAAUAAGAAUAAAUUAAAUAAUUCUUGUUAGAGAAUUAAUAUAUUAAAUUCAUAGAUUUUAAAAUCAUCGUGCAUCAAGAUGAGUAUUGAAUUAUGCUUUAACAAUUUACUCUAUUCCUUUCAGCAAGUGUAUCAAUAUACAGCGAUGGAAGUCAGGUCGUGGGAGAGGAAAGAUCAGCAUAGGUCGACAACGUGAGAGGCAACUUCUCUUAUCACUGCCUCGAUAAAAGCUCCUCUGCUUUUCCUUCAAUUUAUCAGCAGUUCGUUUAUUUUGAAUAACUAGUUCGCGUGUCUGCCCCAGAAUUAUCGUCUCAUGACCACCUAAUAAUCAUAUUCUGCCUUCGAUAUUGCUUUAAUUUAACUCAGCACGGAGUAUACUCCUACAACUGGCCUGAUUUAGCCUGUUAGCCAUAGUAAGACGAGCUUCUAUCGAUUUCUCGAGCUCGCUUUGUAAGUCUAUACCACAUCCAAUCGAUCCACAGGUUGAAUCAAAUAUAAGUUCAUUCAUGGAAGAGGGCUAUUCAAUAAAUUCAACGUCUAUGUUCAAAGUGGAUGAUUCUACUUUCUCGAAGAAAUUCCUUGAAUUUGAAUAAAGAAGAGGCGAGAGCGACGAUUAUUUAGAAAUGGAACGUGGUUAAUAAUAUUCGACGAAGACGCAGAUCGGAUAGUUGCGAAAUUUUCGAGGUCACGACCUCCAUUUUUCUCUUUUUUCUUUCCCUCGUAUGCGACGAUAAGCAACGCUGCUCAACACUCUCGAUUAUCGGUCUCUCGACUGAACGUUUGACGAACGUUAAUUUGAAAAUCCAUGAAAAUUCAAUAAAAUUCAACGAUUUGUAAUAAUAAUUAACUUCGCAAUAUCCUAAUAACGGGAUUAAUUCCCUAUGUGAUAUAAUUAUAAAAAUUCAUGGAAUACCAUGUAAUUAUUUGACAAAUGAUCUUUCAUGGUCCUCCAUGAUUUACAGAUGGGCCGUAUUAAAUGAUUAAGAUUGAAAGUUACCCCAGCGACGGGAAUGACGUGCGAGACCAUCCUUGGUUUGUCCAGGUCGUAAUUCAUAAAAAUGCUGGCCGUUGCAGCUGCAUUUACACUAUGCUGCACGGCUAAGUCCUCCCAAUAGGCGGGCAAGCCCUCCACUGUUCAACACUGAUUGUUUCAAAAUGUUCUAAUUUGUUUGGAAGGGAUGUUGUUAAGUUUUUCAAAUGCACUGGCACAAAAUUGUUCAAACUAACAACUAAUCACUGAUCACAAGCUACACCUUUAAUAGUUGAUGUUACAUCUUUAAGAGGAGGCUACCUUGGCACACCAGAACAGCAUCAGGAAAUGAUGGAAAAUAAUAAUUCUUCCAACUUGUUGAUACGAUCUGUAACAAAAAAAAUAGCAGAUACAUAGUCCAUAAAAUGUCAUAAUAUUCUUUCUUACUUAACUUUAUUGAAUAUAAAAAACAAUUUUCAAACAAUCUUAUCACGCUUAUCAAUAUUUACGCAUCCUACAGGCCUAACAUCUUCUUCGCCAAAUAGGAAAUAACCGAAAUGUCCCCCCUGCUCGUGACAAAUGAAGCGGAGCUACACAAUUCCCUUCAACGAUUCUCAACGUGGAAAAACUCGUGUUAGAAGCUCAAAGCCGCCGAUUCGAUGGGAUAAGGAGUUUGACACGACUCCAGAAGGGAAUUCGUUGACGAGCGAGCAACAGCUGAACACUUAGCCGAGCACGAGGAAAGAGACCCCAUCCCAGGGGAGUCGUUGAGACUUCCGGCGGCCGCCGACAGAGGAUCCUCGAUACGUCCUCUGACGGACAUGAUCGUAAAUUUCGACAAUAAGAGGAUAUACUAUGCCAACUCAUUUAUUUUAACUUUAGAAUGUGCACAUUAAGAAAUAUUCAUGUCGGUUUAUCGCUGUUGGAUGAGCUCAUUAAUUGGAUAUCAGCGUUAAAGAGCUGUAAAUGUAUCGCAGAUUAAUGGCCUCAGUGUUAAUCCGGAUCACUUUUUUUCCUUUAACAAUUAAGAUAUUAAUAUUGAAAAUUAAUUAAUAAAAUUUAUUAAGAAUCUACUAUAUACGUACAGCUUGAUUAAAAAAACGCGAUCACAAUCCGCUAUUGUCAAUCAAGGAUCGUAAAACUCGUGAAUGGAUUCAAUAAAUAUCUAUUAAUUAAUUUUAAACAGAGAGAUAAUCUUAAUAAUUGUGGAAAAUAUAAGUUAGGACUCAAUAGGCAGAAAAUUAAUUAAUACCGAGCUGAAAUCAGUAAAUUAAUUCAAUAAUGAGUGAUUUUCUUGUUGAAAUCUUUUAAGAAUAUAUUAUAUAUUAAUUGAUGCCUGAUUUAUGGAAGUACAGACAGUUGUUUUGACGUAAUUAGGAGAGCCCCUUAUCUCCUCUGACAGAAGGAAGAGCCGUUUAUCUGGCUGUUUACUAAACAUACGCGUUAAGUUCAUAGAAAUUCUUGCUCGAUCGAAAAACGAAGUUUAUAAACUCACUUCUGGCUAUGAUAUUUUAGACAUUUCAACAAUAAUAUUGCACGAAAUCCAUCUUUUUAUUUUGGCUCGUGUGCUACGAUAGUAAACCAUUUCAUUCAUAAGUUUCUUGAUCAUAAAUGAGUUCUUGUAAACGCAAACGUUAGAUCAACAACGAUCCGGAGGUUCUAGAGGUGAUGAACUUUGCACAUGACGUUGCAGACGAGAUCGUCGACAUCCGACGGCGUCGCAGGUUAAGACCAAAACCUAAGUCCGAAUUCCUUCCUUUUUCUUUCUUUCUUUUUCUUUUUUUUCUUUUUUUUUUUCUUUUUUUAAAUUACGAAGCUAAAAAUAAUCAAAGUUUGCACGCUGAAUCUUUGAAAAGCGAUGAAAGACACGAAUGUUUUAACGUGCAGAUAAUUUUUACAAUAACUUGAUACGAUACGAAAAAAUUGUAUCUAGUAUCUUAAGUGAGAAAACAAUUUUGAUGUAUUCUGUUCUUUUCUUUAAUGGAUUUUCUUUAUCUUUUUAGGGCUCUUUAAACUUUCCAAGCAAAUCUCCGGGGAUAGGAAAAAGAGAAAGAAGAUAUUAAUAAAAAAAAAAAAAAAAAACUCAUACUCAUCUGCUGUAAGUAUUUCUUCAUUGAAAUAAUCCAAAACACUUCAUUCUCUAUUUUCGAGACACGAAUAGAAGAUUAUUAAUAUCUGAAAGCUUUAAAGACCCUUGUUAUGUUAAAUAAUCACCAAUAAAAAGAAACCAAUCACAUUUUCUGCAACUGAAAUCACAAAAAAGAAAUGCCUACAUUCAAAAUAAAAGAAAGAAAAAAGUUGUCACCGUGUAACCAAGAAGAAGAAAAAAGAAAAAAGAACCACCACAAUACUUUGAUAUAAUAAUUUGAUUAAAAUUCUUAUUAUCAAAAAUUAUUAAACGGAUCACUAGAAGCUUAUAAAACUAUAACAAACUAAAACAAACAACUCACAGUGAUCAAGAAGUGAAACAAGCCUAAGCCGAAUCUUCGAUCGGACGACGAAAGAUGGAUCACCAGGGAAGUUUACCUCGUUCUUAGCACUGCGAUUGCGAGGACGAGGUUUUUUUUUUUUUUUUUUUUCUUUAACACUUGUGUCGAAUCGCGAUCGCGUGGAAACGGUCGAGUAGCAGCGGAAACACGAUGAGCUUGAGAGGAGAGCCAACCGAGAUUGAAACUAAUUGAGAAUGUCGAAGCGGACCAGCGAGUGUUUCGAAGCGGGUGGAGGCGCACAGAGGCGGAGUUUCGUGGUCACCGAGCCGUCCAACUUAUCAGAGACCUCCCACGUCUGGUUCUCCGCCCCUUGUGACUAGAACAGCCAAAAAUCCUGUCUUCGAAAUCGAGCGGAAAAGAAGGAUAAACGGUGCGAUGCGUUUGUUGGAGGAGGAAGGAAGAAUUAUUUUUAUUGAGACUGAAGAAAGAGGCAACAGUUAAGAAUAAGAAUGUCUGGCUAUUCGUUAUUGUUGAUGCGCUGAUUUAUUAUUUGUUAUACUUCCAAUGGGAAGUUUGUAAAGAGAGUAGAGUGAUUAUUAAAUGGGGAUUGUGUAGCCAAGACUUUUUUUACAAUCACAUCUAUCCGACAUCCUUCGAUUUCGACCACGGACAAACACAUUUGUUGUGCUCUACUUUAGAAAGAAUUGGUCCAAUAUCGGUCAUCAAGUGCAAUUAUAUCUCGCAAAUCAGUGAAACAAUGGUCAACAGCCAUACUAAGGAAGAAUUCCAAAGGAUCAGUUUCUUUUUAUGGCAUCUCUAUCGGAAUCGAAAUCUCCGGACAAAUAAACAUCGCACAAGUUCCCAGCCAUUGAUCGUGAGCAAUAUAAAUACUUCUUACUUGAUAUAAGUAUAAUUCUGAGAAAUGGGACCGUGAUACGUGCCACUGAUUACGUAAUGAUUUAGGCAGGAUACUGAUAACGUCUGUAAAACCGAAGGGGUUACAUUUCUUUAACUCUGCCUCAGAAUGAUUUUUUUUAAUCAUUUUAGUAAAUAUUAUAUGUUUAUCUUAUAUAUUUAAUUUAUUACUAGAGUAACAUGAAUUAUCAGAAAAAUAAUUCUUAAGAUUA